UACAGAGGGGGCAAGCGUUGUUCGGAAUUACUGGGCGUAAAUGGCGCGUAGGCGGCCUUCUAAGUCGAACGUGAAAUCCCCGGGCUCAACCCGGGAACUGCGUCCGAUACUGGAAGGCUUGAAUCCGGGAGAGGGAUGCGGAAUUCCAGGUGUAGCGGUGAAAUGCGUAGAUAUCUGGAGGAACACCGGUGGCGAAGGCGGCAUCCUGGACCGGCAUUGACGCUGAGGCGCGAAAGCCAGGGGAGCAAACGGG
Molecule: ribosomal RNA, 253 nt
Filed under: uncultured bacterium
Lineage: Bacteria
Description: partial 16S ribosomal RNA
Rfam family: Bacterial small subunit ribosomal RNA
Source: RNAcentral